Long non-coding RNA from Anolis carolinensis (green anole), 477 nucleotides. RefSeq lists it as uncharacterized. The transcript is spliced from 3 exons. The record is from RefSeq and is a predicted model, not a curated record. Lineage: Eukaryota; Metazoa; Chordata; Lepidosauria; Squamata; Anolidae.
GCUAAAAAAAAGACAAAAACGACAAAGCCUGAAGAAACUAAUUACCAUCUACCUCUAUCCUUUCUGCUUAGAUGUGAGACUCGCCCUGGAGAAAGACGGCUGAUGAAGAUGCCAUGCCUGUCUCUUCAAAGGGCACCCUCUGGACUGGCUUCUCCUCCCGCUUCCUUCUCCUCCCAGGACUCCUGUUCAAAGCUUCCAGCUUAUCAAUGUGUGGGGCUGCCAGAUUCUUGUCAAAUGCGGUUUUGGGACAACAAAGUUUUCAUAGUGGGGAUUCGAGAAACCCAGUGCAGCCCGGAACAUUUCUGUGACAGCGUGAUAUACAAACUCGUACUGUUCCUGCCAAUAACACAGGUUGGUCCUAGAGAGAAGCAGCGUAGCUGUGGAGCUCACCUGGGUUUGAACAGCAGCUGGCCUCUGCUUCCUCAUUUCCAAGACAACAUCAAAAAUGCUGAAAUGUGGUGGGAUUCUCUGAAAAAA